GAAAUGCGAUAAGCAAUGUGAAUUGCAGAAUUCAGUGAAUCAUCGAAUCUUUGAACGCACAUUGCGCCCGCCAGUAUUCUGGCGGGCAUGCCUGUCCGAGCGUCAUUUCAACCAUCAAGCCCCCGGGCUUGUGUUGGGGACCUGCGGCUGCCCGCAGGCCCUGAAAACCAGUGGCGGGCUCGCUGUCACACCGAGCGUAGUAGCAAUCACCUCGCUCAGGGCGUGCUGCGGGUUCCGGCCGUUAAACAGCCUUACAAAACCCAAGGUUGACCUCGGAUCAGGUAGGAAGACCCGCUGAACUUAAGC
This 306-nucleotide unclassified non-coding RNA is filed under the name plant metagenome. RNAcentral's name for it is "partial contains 5.8S ribosomal RNA, internal transcribed spacer 2, and large subunit ribosomal RNA". The stretch from base 1 to 105 matches the Rfam family "5.8S ribosomal RNA", at positions 50 to 154 of the family's 154-position model. The record is from RNAcentral.